UGGCUCAGGAUGAACGCUAGCGGCAGGCUUAACACAUGCAAGUCGAGGGGUAUAGUUCUUCGGAACUAGAGACCGGCGCACGGGUGCGUAACGCGUAUGCAAUCUACCUUUUACAGAGGGAUAGCCCAGAGAAAUUUGGAUUAAUACCUCAUAGCAUAGCAGCUUCGCAUGAAGCCACUAUUAAAGUCACAACGGUAAAAGAUGAGCAUGCGUCCCAUUAGCUAGUUGGUAAGGUAACGGCUUACCAAGGCUACGAUGGGUAGGGGUCCUGAGAGGGAGAUCCCCCACACUGGUACUGAGACACGGACCAGACUCCUACGGGAGGCAGCAGUGAGGAAUAUUGGACAAUGGGCGCAAGCCUGAUCCAGCCAUGCCGCGUGCAGGAUGACGGUCCUAUGGAUUGUAAACUGCUUUUAUACGAGAAGAAACACUACUUCGUGAAGUAGCUUGACGGUAUCGUAAAAAUAAGGAUCG
RNAcentral lists this ribosomal RNA (474 nucleotides) under Flavobacteriaceae bacterium JJ-574. RNAcentral's name for it is "bacterial SSU rRNA". It matches the Rfam family "Bacterial small subunit ribosomal RNA", at positions 20 to 495 of the family's 1533-position model. The record is from RNAcentral. Lineage: Bacteria; Pseudomonadati; Bacteroidota; Flavobacteriia; Flavobacteriales; Flavobacteriaceae.